This 422-nucleotide ribosomal RNA is filed under the name uncultured archaeon. Its description in RNAcentral is "partial 16S ribosomal RNA". It matches the Rfam family "Archaeal small subunit ribosomal RNA", at positions 323 to 746 of the family's 1478-position model. The record is from RNAcentral.
CUACGGGAUGCAGCAGGCGAGAAAACUUUGCAAUGUGCGAAAGCACGACAAGGUUAAUCCGAGUGGUUUCUGCUAAAGGAACCUUUUGACAGUCCUAGAAACACUGUUGAAUAAGGGGUGGGCAAGUUCUGGUGUCAGCCGCCGCGGUAAAACCAGCACCUCAAGUGGUCAGGAUGAUUAUUGGGCCUAAAGCAUCCGUAGCCGGCUCUGUAAGUUUUCGGCUAAAUCUGUACGCUCAACGUACAGGCUGCCGGGAAUACUGCAGAGCUAGGGAGUGGGAGAGGUAGACGGUACUCGGUAGGAAGGGGUAAAAUCCUUUGAUCUAUUGAUGACCACCUGUGGCGAAGGCGGUCUACCAGAACACGUCCGACGGUGAGGGAUGAAAGCUGGGGGAGCAAACCGGAUUAGAUACCCCCGUAGUC